This 368-nucleotide unclassified non-coding RNA is filed under the name Hevea brasiliensis (rubber tree). Lineage: Eukaryota; Viridiplantae; Streptophyta; Magnoliopsida; Malpighiales; Euphorbiaceae. The record is from RNAcentral.
GAGUUCGUUCCCAAUAAUACCUUGGCAUAUCAUUUACAUGUUGGAAAAAACAAGACUUUGGACUGGUCAACGAGAAUGAAUAUUGCCUUGCAAACUGCAAAUGGGUUGCUAUAUUUACAUGAAGGCUGUAAACCUUCAAUUAUACACCGAGAUAUAAAAGCCGAUAACAUUCUUCUUGAUAAUAAUUUUAAAGCGAAGGUAGCAGAUUUUUCACUUUCCAGUUUUUUGGAUACUCGUAACGUUCACCACAUUUCCAGUAUAUGUAGGGGAACCAACGUCUAUGCAGAUAAAGAAUUUGGUGAUGCUCAGAAAAUUACAGAUAAAUUAGAUGUUUAUUCUUACGGUGUUAUACUUUUAGAAUUGAUUAC